UUUGCAUUUUAUGUAGUUAUGCUAAAUAGUGAUAGGUUUCCUAUGAUUUGUUCAUAUUGUUGAAUAAUUUUUGCUGUGGUUUUACUCACGACCAAUUCAUUUAUUGGCAUUAUGUUCUGGAUUUGAUGCAGUUGUUUAUGCGGCACCUGAGAGCCUGUUGAAUGUUGGGGUUGACAUGGGGACAAGGGAAUGGGUAAUGCAAGGUGUGUCCUCAGCCCUGACCAUUUUAAUCCGAUCUCAUUUUAGCUUGAGCUUGGAGUUUGAGGUAAUCCUUAAUGUUUUGGUCUGGGGAUAAUUUUGGCGGUUUUGAAAGCAAAAGGCUUCAUUCAACAAGCCAAAAUAAAAAAAGGCUAAUUUUUUUUAUGAAAUAACGUUAGUUCUUUUAUUUUACUUUUCUCAUAUGAAUGAAACCCAUAUAUAACCAAGUAUGCUUUAUCAUUACUGUCCUUUCUUAAUCAUUAGGAGCAAACAUUUUAUCAAACGGAGCCUGAAUUUGUAAUAUGUGCUUAUAAAAUAUAUUUGCAUAGAUACUGCUUAGCACCGCAGAGCAGCUGAGUUAAUAAACUGGUGUGCUUCUGGUGUUGCUGUCUUGGUUUGGAAUCCCUGGAUUGACCUGUUACCUACAAUAUAUAUGUGCCUUGAAAUUGUGGAUGUUUCUUAUGAUUGUUAUUCAUUGUUGUCCCGACUAUCUGGAACAAACCGACUCUUCGCAAGGGCAAGCCAGCAAGGCUUUGUGUUGCGCACACUUGACACUUUCUGAUACAAUUUCAGCAUCCACCCUGGAAUGCCAUUGGGACUUUUAUCUAAUAAAACUUGCUAGUUGCCCCUUCUGUAAUUUGUAUUCAAUGUCUGUUUUACUGGCAGAUUUCUAUAGCUUAAGGAGGGUUGUUGAAGCAGCCUCAGAGCGUGUUGAAGAGAUUAGAACUUCGGCUGGCAUCAGCAAUUAGAACAAGAACUUGCAGAUUUAGAAUUGAAAGCAGCUAAGAGCUCCUUUUGGGAUGACCGUGGUAGAGCUCAAGACUCUCAAGUCAUAUGCAUUCAUGUGUAACAGUAACGGCUUGAAAAUCAUAGAGGAACGAUCAUACACUGCAAGGUUAAAUGACCCAUAAAUCCCAUCAUCAAUCCAGUACUGAAUUUCCUCCUCUUAUCACUCGUUUCCCUAUCACAUUUGUCACCAUGGUGAAUGCAGUUUCAGCAAAGUGAUAAGAAAUAAAAAUAUGUGGAGGUGGGUAUGGUACGACGCUGAUGUGCGUGUAUAUAAGCUGCUAAUUGUUUUGGCCCCAGCUUCAACUGCUUGCAUGAAGGUAUUUGUUUAUGAAUCAGAGAAAAUUGAAGAAUUAUAAGCUGCUACAGAUGAAGCUAUUUGUUUAAUUACAAGUUGAUAUAUAUAUUAUAAAUUAUAAAUCAUAAAGUGAAUUAUGAUUUGGGCUGCUAAUCUUGAUGAGUUGAUAUAUUACCAAAUCAAGAAAUAUAAAAAUGUGUAGACGAGCUGUAUAUUGGAUUUUGCGUUUCAGAAUGUGAUCAAUAUGGAAUUUCAGAAACUUCCUAUGCAAUAUUAUAUCCUCUCUCUUUC
Long non-coding RNA from Hevea brasiliensis (rubber tree), 1573 nucleotides. RefSeq lists it as uncharacterized. NCBI's taxonomy places the organism in Eukaryota, Viridiplantae, Streptophyta, Magnoliopsida, Malpighiales, Euphorbiaceae. The record is from RefSeq and is a predicted model, not a curated record. The transcript is spliced from 2 exons.